CACCGCCUGGGGAGUACGACCGCAAGGUUAAAACUCAAAUGAAUUGACGGGGACCCGCACAAGUAGUGGAGCAUGUGGUUUAAUUCGAAGAUACGCGCAGAACCUUACCAACACUUGACAUGUUCGUCGCGACUUUAAGAGAUUAAAGUUUUCGGUUCGGCCGGACGAAACACAGGUGCUGCAUGGCUGUCGUCAGCUCGUGUCGUGAGAUGUUGGGUUAAGUCCCGCAACGAGCGCAACCCUCACUUUUAGUUGCCAUCAUUUAGUUGGGCACUCUGAAAGAACUGCCAGUGAUAAGCUGGAGGAAGGUGGGGAUGACGUCAAGUCCUCAUGGCCCUUACGUGUUGGGCUACACACGUGCUACAAUGGUAUCUACAACAGGAAGCAAAACGGCGACGUUAAGCAAAUCCUUAAAAGAUACCUCAGUUCGGAUUGUACUCUGCAACUCGAGUACAUGAAGCUGGAAUUACUAGUAAUCGUGGAUCAGCGUGCCACGGUGAAUGCGUUCCCGGGUCUUGUACACACCGCCCGUCACACCAUGGGAGUUGGUUCUACCUUAAGGCAAGGUUUAAAACCCUUGACCACGGUAUAGUCAGCGACUGGGGUGAAGUCGUAACAAGGUAGCCGUAGGGGAACCUGCGGCUGGAUUACCUCCUUUCUAAGGAUGAAUAAAAAAAAAUUUUUAUUCUAAAUAAUAUACACGGUUAAUGUUGACCGUCCUCAUUUCUCUUCUUAAGUUAGUGUUUCUCUUGCAUGGGGGCCGGUAGCUCAGUUGGUUAGAGCACACCCUUGAUAAGGGUGGGGUCGAAAGUUCGAGUCUUUCUCGGCCCACCAAUAGAUUAAGGGGGAUUAGCUCAGCUGGGAGAGCGCCUGAUUUGCAUUCAGGAGGUCAGCGGUUCGAUCCCGCUAUCCUCCACCAAACACUUAGUUAUUUAAAUAGUGAAUAUGAAUAAUAAUUAAUAUCAAUAUCUAUAUCCGAACAUUAGAAAUGUUAUUAGCUAAUGUUCAAAAUAAAAAUUUGAUUCAACACAGAAUUUUUUUCUG
This 1044-nucleotide small RNA is filed under the name uncultured Pelagibacterales bacterium. Its description in RNAcentral is "bacterial SSU rRNA". The stretch from base 1 to 658 matches the Rfam family "Bacterial small subunit ribosomal RNA", at positions 867 to 1533 of the family's 1533-position model. Lineage: Bacteria; Pseudomonadati; Pseudomonadota; Alphaproteobacteria; Candidatus Pelagibacterales. The record is from RNAcentral.